Molecule: long non-coding RNA, 327 nt
Filed under: Triticum aestivum (bread wheat)
Lineage: Eukaryota; Viridiplantae; Streptophyta; Magnoliopsida; Poales; Poaceae
Description: long non-coding RNA (TAES_LNC018532)
Source: RNAcentral
UCGGGUGGUAUUUCCAACCUUCUCAAUGAAGUAAGAACUUUUCUCGUUGACAUGUAUGUAGUCUAUGCAUAUGAAAUUUUGAACUGAGAAUGUGUAUUUAAAUCAAACUAUCUUUCUUGCUGUAGGAUUUCAUUGGAGAGGAUGCUGUCAUGGAUGGAUAAUGACACUUAUGUUGGUUAACCCAACCUACACGCGAGAUUUUUUCGCAUGUGUGUUGGGAACUUUUAAUUGGCCAUUCCCUUGUUCUUGCACACUGUACCUUGAAACUAUGUGAAUUACUGUAGUCUAGUUAGAAGUACAGUCGUGUCGGGGCUUCUAUUUUACUCU